ACAGCCCUACGGGAGGCAGCAGUAGGGAAUCUUCCGCAAUGGACGAAAGUCUGACGGAGCAACGCCGCGUGAGUGAUGAAGGCUUUCGGGUCGUAAAACUCUGUUGUUAGGGAAGAACAAGUGCUAGUUGAAUAAGCUGGCACCUUGACGGUACCUAACCAGAAAGCCACGGCUAACUACGUGCCAGCAGCCGCGGUAAUACGUAGGUGGCAAGCGUUAUCCGGAAUUAUUGGGCGUAAAGCGCGCGCAGGUGGUUUCUUAAGUCUGAUGUGAAAGCCCACGGCUCAACCGUGGAGGGUCAUUGG
RNAcentral lists this ribosomal RNA (305 nucleotides) under Bacillus cereus. RNAcentral describes it as "bacterial SSU rRNA". It matches the Rfam family "Bacterial small subunit ribosomal RNA", at positions 333 to 629 of the family's 1533-position model. The record is from RNAcentral. Lineage: Bacteria; Bacillati; Bacillota; Bacilli; Caryophanales; Bacillaceae.